AGCAAAUGUGCCACGUCAAGACUGGAAAUCACAGCCCUUGAGUGUGUCUCAGUCAGCGCAGCAGAAUUCAGGGGGGAAAGCUGAAUGCAACCCCUGGUGCAGGAAGGGAGGCUUUUCCUGAGGACCGGGAGAGGAUUUUAAGUUUUGCACACUAGGGACCAAGAAGCCCUCGGGGACACUGCUGAGAAAAGACUGCCGAAGGGAAGACCAGCGGGGAUCAUGGAAUCUAUUCCAGAGGAAACUAACCAACAGUGAGCAUCUUCAACUAAAACUACCCCUGGAUGUAAUAAGUGUUGCAUGCAUCAUUCCUUUAAUUGAGCAGAGUUAACUGGAUCAAAUUAUUUAUGGGAGAGAGAGGAAAAGUUAUAAAGAAUUAUAGUAAUUUUUAAUUUCCACCAAUAUACUCUUUGUAAGUGAAUCACUCUAUAAUUACUUUCUGUUGCACUGAAUGCAGCAACAAUAACACAAUAGUAUUUUAAGGCACUGGUUUUUGGCAUACUCUAACCUUGUAAUUAUUUAAAUAACAGCCAAGUUUACUCAUGUUUUUGAUUCUGUCAAGAAAAAAAAAAAGUUCCUUUACUCGAAAGUGAUGGCCGAAACAGAAUCGGAAAUUUAUUUUCUUGAAAUUACAUAAAUACACAGAAAAUGGCACUUAUUAGCUUUUGUUAAAACAUUACCUUACCUAAUCACUGCAUAAAAGUCCAGAUUUGUAGAAAAUUGUAAUUUUCUCAGUAUAUAAAACUAUUUUGCUUUCUAUUAAGUUUCUAUUUGCUAUUUUCUCAGAAUUUUACAAUUAAAGAUAAAUCACAAACUGUUUGUUUUUCUUAAAGUUCUUUGAGAAAAUGUCUAAUUAUACAAUCCUUGGACAAUACUGUGUUUUUUUGGUGCUGUGUUUUUUAAGAAGUCCUACUUACUGGAAUUUUGACUAUUUGGAUAUUUUUGUUUUUAAAAGGGGAGGGGAAUUUGCUUAAUACUUCUAAAGAUGUGAAUUGAUAAUUGAUAUUAAAAUAGAAUUAUUCUCAACUCACCAGAAUUAAAUUUUAUAUCUGCAUAUUUAACACUAUUAGCUCAUAUAAAUUAUAAGAAAAAUUUUCAAAGGAUCUGGUUUUAAUUUUUUGGAUAUGAAAUGAAUUUGCCUUUUCUGCCUUUUCUUAAGUACUAUUUUGUAACUAUAUUGCACUAACUAUAUCCAAAACACAUUCUGAGCAUCACUGUGAGUAACAGCCUUCCAGUUUGUACCCUUUUGAUUCACAGCAUGGCCCUAUAGUUAAUUAAGAGGUGGAUAACUUAAGCUCACAACUGCCUUUAAUUUGAUUUCACAUCCACAGUUAUAAACUUUGCAUUUAAAAGGAAAAUGAGACAUUUAAAUAGGUUCCUGUUGUUUCACAUAUAAUUGGUAAAAACAUAUUCCCUUGUAGAAUCCUAUUAUCAAAGCAUCAAAUACCAAAGUCAGCAACUUGGGUUGCCAAAUAAAUUAGGCUCAUUAAUUAUUUUGAAAAGGGCUGCUGUUUCCAUGUAAAUGAUAAUUUUCUUUUUCAUGGACAAGGUUAUGGUACUUAUCUACUAAAAGAAACAUGCAUAAACAUAGUUUUUAUCUUUAACUUCAGUAUUAAAAUAUGCAGUUUUUUGCAAAGAGGAAAAACAUCUGGUUCAAUUACGCUGAACUCUGACUACAUGUGGGCCAGUAAUAAUAUGAAUUGGACUUAAGAAUAAACCUUGUGUUUAAUCUCUUUUUUUCCUUAAAAUUUUAAUGUGAGUUUUCUGUUAAGCAAAUUAUCCAUGUUAGCACAUUUGGAACAAAUGUAUAAAUGUACUUUCUGAAUAAAGUCAAAAGUCUAACUUGUUUUUAGUUCCAUAAUGUUUUAAUGUUUAAUUAUAUUGUGUAUUUCUCUCCCUUUCCCCUUACUCUCCAAAAUCACCAAAUCUGGAAAACAGGCUGAUUGUAUCUGUCUAUGAGCAAAGGAAACCUGAAGGAACCAAGGGCCUGGCUGGACAGAGUUGUCAUGUGUCUGCCUGUCUACACUUGCUGUGCAGAACAUCCGCUCACCUGUACAGCAGGCACAGACAGGCAGUCACAUGACAACCCAGCCUGAAUGACAACCAGCCAUUGAAAGAAAGCAGCCCUCACACCAUAGCAUCUACACCAAGAGCUACAACCAAAAUGAGGGGCUCGGGGGCCUGGGGUUUUAAUCUGUUGGUUUAAUACUUAACUCAUGUAUUAUUUUAUUUUGAUUCAAGUAUUAAAACCCACCAAAAGUAAAGUGAGUGGUGCCUAUGAAAUAUAAUAAAACCCAUUUCUGAAAAUGUUCCUGUGCAUUCUAUAGUUCUCUUUUCCUAAUUGUUGUCAGCAAAUCACUACCCUUGACCUUUAUUGUACACAGCUUUGCAGCACCCUAUAUUGAUAUAGAAACUCAAUAUAACAAAACAAUAUAACUUCAGUCUGAUGCUUAACAAAGAAUAAAUUAUUCUAAGAAUUCUUGUCCAUAAACUAAGUAUGGUUUUCUAUGUCAUGAUUUUUUUUUUUUUUUUUUUUUUUUUUUUUAGAAGGGGAUAGGGUGGAAAGACAGAGAAAAGAAAAGGGAGAAAAAGAGUAUUCCAAAGGAUCAAGUGCUUUGAGUUAACUCUGCCAGUCUGGGUUAACUCUGCCAGUCUGGGUCUGGGCAAAACAUAGUGAAAAGACUACUAUUUCCAACUAGUGUUCAACUAUAUUAAAAUAAUAGUUUCUCCUCUUUUGACAUAUGGAAAGUUGAAAUUUUUGAUACUUCCACGCGUCAUGGUAUACAUAAAUUUAUGACUGCGUCAUUCUUUAAUUAAGAAGGUGCUUAUGCUACAGUUCUAGGAGUAGAAUUUACAAGGCCAACACAUUCACUUGCAACCUAUGCUUCCAUCACUAUAAACUUUCAAGAUCUUGAGAUGUUCAGGCAAUUCAUUUAUCUUCAGAAGCAUAAGGAAAGUGGUUAAUGCACUUGAAAUGUAUAUUUUGACACAUCUUUUGAGAAAAUAUCCAAACUUCAGUUUAUGCACUGUUAACUGGAGUGAAAUGAUAAGGGAUGGCUUUUGUCUAUGAAUACUUUAAAUACUUAAGGGUAAAAGGUGGGAAGAUGGAUAAAAUUAGAAAUGUGUCAACUUUUAUUUAGUUCAUUAACAUGUUUUAGCUUCAGUAUUUGAAAUUAAUUUUCAUCUUUCUUAGAUUCUGGUCAAGCUUAAAAAAUGUAACACAAGGCUACUCAAAACUUUUUUCACAUUUAAUAAUUAAACACUUUGUGUACGUAUUCUUAACUAAAGCAAACUAUUUUUCAUUCAGCUAUUUUAUUUUUAAAAUGAAAGUCUCAGUCUUAAAGCUAAGAUCCCAGUGAGUUUCAAAUUUUCUGACAGUGAUAUUUUAACCAAACCUGACAUUAUAGUUUCUUUAAUUAAAAAACUGAAUGAUGGGGCAAAACUACAAAGCACAAAUAUGAUUAAAGUUAAAUUUCUCUCAUUUAAACAAUCUUGUCUUAUGGCAAUAUGUCAUCUGCUAAAAUUCAUCUCUGCUUCUGCAAGAUACAUUGCACGAUGCAGAUUUUUGCCUUAAAUAAAAGUCCCAUUACUAGCAAAUAAAGUCCUAAACAAUACUUACAAAAUGUAGAAUAUAAACAGGAAGACAAUAUAAAAAUUACUCACAGAAUAUCGACAUCGUUCUACCCAAUCUUAAAUGCCUUGUACCACCUGUUGCAAAUGCUGCCUAUGAGAGUUCACGUAUGGAAUUAUUCUACUGGACCCUGCAAGGCUCAGGAGAGUGCUUGACAGCUCCCAGAAUGAGACAAUGACCUAGCCAGAACAUUAAGGAGACUACACCCGUCCUUCAGACUCCAAAGGGAAAGCUAGGACGGCAGCAGAGUCAUCCUAAAGUGAGGCACUCCAGGAUAACAUUUUCAAUAUUUUUCCUUAAAACAUAAAGUUAACACCUUUUUUGUUAAACAUUUUUUACUCAAUUUUCAAAACAAAUGCUUGAAAGAAUGUUUUGUAUGUAUUUUAAAGUCAUUAAAUGAGGCACAUUUAAAAAUUUUUCUCUUCUGGGAAAGGGUAAUAUAAAGGAUAAUAUUGCUCUUCCAGGAUAAACUUUUGAGUAGGACAAAUAAUGCAUAUAGGGGAGUGGGUUUGAAUCUAAGCUCAUUUUUAAUAAAUUUGGAAUAGGAUUGGCCAUUAUGGUUUAUUGAAUAAUACUCUUUUUUUCAAAAUUAUAAAUCUUUAGAUAAUACCAGAACAUGGAAAUAUUUGUAUGAAUAAUCCUAUAUUAAAAAAGAAUAACAUCAGAUAGUUUAUGUAUGUAAAAAAAUAUACAACUGUGAUCAUGCAGAAUUUUAAGUAAUAUAAGUGGAUUAGA
This 4363-nucleotide antisense RNA is filed under the name Pan troglodytes (chimpanzee). The stretch from base 1990 to 2090 matches the Rfam family "mir-214 microRNA precursor family". The record is from RNAcentral. Lineage: Eukaryota; Metazoa; Chordata; Mammalia; Primates; Hominidae.